UGGGGAAUAUUGCACAAUGGGCGCAAGCCUGAUGCAGCAAUGCCGCGUGAGUGAAGACGGCCUUAGGGUUGUAAAACUCUUUCGCUAGGGAAGAUAAUGACGGUAGCCGGAGAAGAAGCCCCGGCUAACUCCGUGCCAGCAGCCGCGGUAAUACGGAGGGGGCUAGCGUUGUUCGGAAUUACUGGGCGUAAAGCGCGCGUAGGCGGAUUGUUAAGUCGGGGGUGAAAUCCCGGGGCUCAACCCCGGAACUGCCUUCGAUACUGGCAAUCUAGAGAUCUGGAGAGGCGAGUGGAAUUCCGAGUGUAGAGGUGAAAUUCGUAGAUAUUUGGAGGAACACCAGUGGCGAAGGCGGCUCACUGGCUCGAUACUGACGCUGAGGUGCGAAAGUGUGGGGAGCAAACAGGAUUAGAUACCCUGGUAGUCCACACCGUAAACGAUGAAUGCCAGACGUCGGGGGG
RNAcentral lists this ribosomal RNA (458 nucleotides) under uncultured bacterium. Its description in RNAcentral is "bacterial SSU rRNA". It matches the Rfam family "Bacterial small subunit ribosomal RNA", at positions 355 to 830 of the family's 1533-position model. The record is from RNAcentral.